CCUACGGGGCGCUGCAGUAGGGAAUAUUCCACAAUGAGCGAAAGCUUGAUGGAGCGACACAGCGUGCACGAUGAAGGUCUUCGGAUUGUAAAGUGCUGUUAUACGGGAAGAACAUUUGCAAUAUGAAAUGAUUGCAGACUGACGGUACCUUGUCAGAAAGCGAUGGCUAACUAUGUGCCAGCAGCCGCGGUAAUACAUAGGUCGCAAGCGUUAUCCGGAAUUAUUGGGCGUAAAGGGUUCGUAGGCUGUCUUGCAAGUCUGGAGGGAAAUGCACGUGGUCAACCCAUGCAUGGCUUUGGAAACUGGAGGACUAGAGAGCAGGAGAGGGCGGUGGAACUCCAUGUGUAGCGGUAAAAUGCGUAGAUAUAUGGAAGAACACCAGUGGCGAAGGCGGCCUCCUGGCCUGUUGCUGACGCUGAGGCACGAAAGCGUGGGGAGCAAAUAGGAUUAGAUACCCCAGUAGUC
RNAcentral lists this ribosomal RNA (465 nucleotides) under uncultured bacterium. RNAcentral describes it as "partial 16S ribosomal RNA". It matches the Rfam family "Bacterial small subunit ribosomal RNA", at positions 338 to 795 of the family's 1533-position model. The record is from RNAcentral.